GAACGUGAGGGUGAUCUGGCUUCGACAUCUACCAUGCCACUGAUCACCAGUGCUGAUUUGGCUGAUCUGGCCAGCAAGGCGUGUGGUGGCCCCUUCCUCCCUCACCUCUCUACGUGUGUCCCUCCCAAGAGAAGCUACACACUCCAGUGGGUCGAAAAGGAUGUCCUUCCCUGAAAAGAGACAAACCCCUUCUUCGUUCUUGGGCUGAGUUAUACAGAGUAGCUGUGCUUCCCUGCUUUAACCUCCAGAUGAGCUCUCAAAAGUCAUGUUGCAGCACAUACGUGCUGCAUUAAGUUUACCACUAAUAGCCCAUAUCUAGCCUCAGCACCAUUCCUGCAAGAGCACGGUAAUGAUGC
This 356-nucleotide small nuclear RNA is filed under the name Sorex araneus (European shrew). Its description in RNAcentral is "7SK RNA (ENSSARG00000017742.1)". It matches the Rfam family "7SK RNA". From Rfam's summary of the family: 7SK was discovered as an abundant small nuclear RNA in the mid-70s but a possible function has only recently been suggested. Lineage: Eukaryota; Metazoa; Chordata; Mammalia; Eulipotyphla; Soricidae. The record is from RNAcentral.